This 468-nucleotide ribosomal RNA is filed under the name uncultured Tulasnella. Its description in RNAcentral is "LSU rRNA". It matches the Rfam family "Eukaryotic large subunit ribosomal RNA", at positions 130 to 506 of the family's 3401-position model. The record is from RNAcentral. Lineage: Eukaryota; Fungi; Basidiomycota; Agaricomycetes; Cantharellales; Tulasnellaceae.
CGCCUGGUUCGAAUUGUGCACUAUUGACGCUGGAUCAGCGCACGGAAGCUCGCGGCGGAUGUCCGAUGAAACACGGCACCAUAGCGGGUCACAGUCCUGUACACGCCCAUCGAGCGCUCGCGCAUAUGACCAGUGUUCUUCGAGUCGCGUAGUUUUGUAUUGCUGCGCCAAUCGGGAGGUAGAGCCCUUCUAAAGCUAAAUAUUAUGGCAUGACCGAUAGCAAACAAGUACCGUGAGGGAAAGGUGAAAAGCAACCAUGCAGAAUGGGUUGAAAGAGAAGUGAAAGUGCUACCGGGAUAAGGGCUAUUGAUUUCAAGUGCGGAUCGCGUGUGCUUCAGUGCUACGCUUACCGCCGUCAUGCAUCGAUUGGGGACCGGGGAGAACAGGGUCGGUGGGAAUUCGGCUCGGUCUCGAGUGUUGUAGCCCGCCGGCCAGUGGAGCCCCCCUCGAUCGGAUACCAGGUGCAUU